Molecule: ribosomal RNA, 593 nt
Filed under: Tomoplagia tripunctata
Lineage: Eukaryota; Metazoa; Arthropoda; Insecta; Diptera; Tephritidae
Description: partial 16S ribosomal RNA
Rfam family: Bacterial large subunit ribosomal RNA (bases 340-499)
Source: RNAcentral
UGGCCGCAGUAUUUUGACUGUGCAAAGGUAGCAUAAUCAUUAGUCUUUUAAUUGAAGGCUUGUAUGAAUGGUUGGACGAAGUAUUAACUGUUUCAUAUAAAUUUAUAAUAAAAUUUUAUAUUUUAGUAAAAAAGCUAAAAUUUAAUUAAAAGACGAGAAGACCCUAUAAAUCUUUAUAUUUAAAUUUAAUUUAAUUUUUUAAAUUUAAUAUUAGUUAAAUUUAAUUUAAAUAUUUUAUUGGGGUGAUAUUAAAAUUUAUAAAACUUUUAAUUUUAAUUUAACAUUUAUUUAUGUUUUAUUGAUCCAUUAAUAAUGAUUAUAAGAAUAAGUUACUUUAGGGAUAACAGCGUAAUUUUUUUGGAGAGUUCUUAUUAAUAAAAAAGUUUGCGACCUCGAUGUUGGAUUAAGAAAUAAAUUUAGGUGUAGAAGCUUAAAAAUUAAGUCUGUUCGACUUUUAAAUUCUUACAUGAUCUGAGUUCAGACCGGCGUAAGCCAGGUUGGUUUCUAUCUUUAAUUAUUUAUAAUAUUUUAGUACGAAAGGACCAAAUAUUAAAUAUAUUCCAAUUUUUUUUUUGAAAAUAAUUAAAUUUAUU